This 1028-nucleotide long non-coding RNA is filed under the name Calidris pygmaea (Spoon-billed sandpiper). RNAcentral describes it as "lncRNA (ENSCPGG00000017151.1)". The record is from RNAcentral. Lineage: Eukaryota; Metazoa; Chordata; Aves; Charadriiformes; Scolopacidae.
UAGAAAGAAGUAAGUAGCUCCUGAAGGAGUUUAGAGAAAGAUCUUAUUCGUCGACCAACUAUAUUAAAAAAGGACAUUACUUUCCCUAUUUAUCUUUUUAAACUAAAAGUUUGACUUUAUGUGGUAUAAAUACCCCACCUUCUUCUUUACUCCAAAUCCAACCUCCAGAACAAGCUGGAAAAUAUUCUAUGGCCUUCCAUGACUUUUUUCCAUUGUUAAUCUUUUCUGUUUUGCAUCUCUCUCAUCCUUCUGGUGUCAUUUUCUCCUCAGUACUCCUUUUGUUUGCAUUUCUAGGUGUGGGGCAUUUUAAUUUUAUUAUUUUUUAAGUAAGCUCAUUCACUAGAUACAUUGUUUUCUUUCAUUGUGUGACUUUCUGUAAUUCUUCCCACUCCAUCAUUUGUAUUAACAAUGUAUCUUUUGUUCUCCUUAUUACUGCUCUUCUAGCUAUAUAACCAUAAUAUAUAAUUGUGUUUGCAUUCUUCUGCAGUUGCUUUGGCUACAUCUGUUUGAAUUUUCUGCUGUGAAUGCUGUCUGCUAUUUGGCAACAUUGUUCUCUACAAUUGCUUACUUUCUGCAUAACAUUUAAAUUGGGGUAUUUUUCCAAUUAUGUAUUUUUUCUAUUUCAGUCUUAUUCUUUUUCCAGGAAAAAAAAAGGAAAAAAGCAGCAGGAGGUUGUAACACAUCAAGACAUCAUCAGCAAAUGGAAAAAAGCCUCAGGAAAGCUUUGCCUCAGGACUUAGCUUAAUCAUUUGGUCCAGCCCAGCUUCACCUGGCUCAUGACAUCUCUAGACCUGUGUAUCUGCUGCUGUCUGUACUCAGAGAACGAUGGACACCUCGGAUUCACCAGCAGGGACACUUUGCUUUGGGUAAUUGCAGUUGUUCACACCCGUACUCUCCACGUUGCUGCUCUUCAGGGGUGCUGCAGCCAUUCACGCAGUGGUUGCUGAAUUUUUGCAUAUUUUUGACUUAUUUUUCAACAUAUUUUUCUAUAUUUUACAGCCUGCCAUGUUAAAGCUGUGAUAUUUGUC